Non-coding RNA from Microcebus murinus (gray mouse lemur), 1551 nucleotides. NCBI's taxonomy places the organism in Eukaryota, Metazoa, Chordata, Mammalia, Primates, Cheirogaleidae. The record is from RefSeq and is a predicted model, not a curated record.
UCCCAGAGUGCUGAGAUUACAGGUGUGAGCCAUCUGCCUGGCCAGUAUUCUGUAUUUUUAAAGGGAAAGGCAUCUGAAAUAGUUUGUGGAACCCUAUUUUUGGUUAUUUUAAAAAACACCCGGGUGGUCACAGCUCUGACCGUUCUCAUUUAACCUGCUUUCUUUGUGGGUCUCACUUGCCAACUUUCUCCCUCAGAUCCUCAGGGCUGUGGAAGGAAAUUGCUCACUCUCCAUAAUCUGGGUCUUGGAGAUAAAUGUAGGAAAUAGGCAAAAAUGAGCAGAGGAAGGAACAACCCAGUUUGUCUUUAAGUCAUGCUUUGCUUCCUGUGAUUCUAAUCCUGUGUCUUGGUCCAUGCCGGCUGCUCAUGGUUCUGGAGGCUGGGAAGUCCAAGAUCAAAGGAUGGGCAGGUUCCAUGUCUGGGUUGGGCUCGCUUCCUGGUUCACAGGUGGCUGCCUUCUCUCUGCGUCUCCACACGGCCCCAGGGAUGAACGAGCUCUCUGGAGUCCUCUCUAUUAGGACACUCAUCCCAUGCAUGGAGGCUUCACCCUUAGGACCGAAUCGCUUUCCCAAAGCCUCACCUUCUAUUACUGUCACCUUGAGGGUAAGAUUUGCAACAUAUGCAUUUUUUUUUUUUUUUUAGGAUAUCUUCAGUCAACAUAUAAAUUUUGAGGGGACAUAAAUAUACAGCCUAUAGGAUGCUGCUGAGUACAGGAAGGAAUGAAUACAGCCGAGAGCUGAAGAUUGGUCCAGGCCUUACUCCAGGGGAAAAUGCUUUUAGCUGAUCUUUCAAAAUAAGUGAGAGUCAUUUUCUACCAUGCAAAUAUGACCCUCGGCUUAAGUCCAUCAGGAGUUCACAGUUGCCUUCAGAAUGAAGCUAAAACUUCUGGCUGAUCAUGUAGCAGCCUGCAUUUCCAGCUUCCUCUCCCUUCACAUGUCCAGCCAGGACCUUGGACCCAGCUGCCUUCGCCUCCUUGCAUUGAUGCUCACAGCUUGUUAUGCCUCUGGGUGUUGGUUCAGGUUGUUCCUUCCUUCUGGAACAACUGGUCCCCAAUUCUCUGACCAGUGUACUCCUACUCAUUCUUCAAUAAAAAGCUUAGGCUUCUUGCCUUAUUGCAAACAUUUCCUGAUCUCUAUGGGUUGAUCUGAUGAUGCCUCUUCUUUCAGCUCUUGUGGACAUAACAUAUUACCCCCUCUGAUACGUCCUCUGUAAUGUGUCACUAAUCACACUGGGUUAUAAUGGCUGACUUCCUUGUCUGGUCACUGCCCUCUUUCGAGGGGAGAAACUGUGACCUGUUCGUCUUUGAAUCACCAGUGUCUAUCACAGUGUGUGACACAUGUAGAUGUUUGCUAAAUCUUUGUGGAAUAAAACAGUUGAUCUGUAAAAUAAGUGAUUGGACAUAGUAAUACAAAAUUCUAGGAUUUUAUGAUAAUUAAAAGUUGAAGGGAACUGCAGAACAACUCAAGAUAAGGAAACAACUCAAGAUAAUAUAGUAAAAAACACAAAGGAAUUAAAAUGGUAUACUAGAAAAUGUCUAUUUAACAUAAAAGAA